GACGAACGCUGGCGGCGUGCUUAACACAUGCAAGUCGAACGCUGAAGCUCAGCUUUUGUUGGGUGGAUGAGUGGCGAACGGGUGAGUAACACGUGAGUAACCUGCCCCCUUCUUUGGGAUAACGCCCGGAAACGGGUGCUAAUACUGGAUAUUCACUGAUCUUCGCAUGGGGGUUGGUGGAAAGGUUUUUUCUGGUGGGGGAUGGGCUCGCGGCCUAUCAGCUUGUUGGUGGGGUGAUGGCCUACCAAGGCUUUGACGGGUAGCCGGCCUGAGAGGGUGACCGGUCACAUUGGGACUGAGAUACGGCCCAGACUCCUACGGGAGGCAGCAGUGGGGAAUAUUGCACAAUGGGCGAAAGCCUGAUGCAGCGACGCCGCGUGAGGGAUGGAGGCCUUCGGGUUGUAAACCUCUUUCGCUCAUGGUCAAGCCGCAACUGUGGGUUGUGGUGAGGGUAGUGUGUAAAGAAGCGCCGGCUAACUACGUGCCAGCAGCCGCGGUAAUACGUAGGGCGCGAGCGUUGUCCGGAAUUAUUGGGCGUAAAGGGCUUGUAGGCGGUUGGUCGCGUCUGCCGUGAAAUCCUCUGGCUUAACUGGGGGCGUGCGGUGGGUACGGGCUGACUUGAGUGCGGUAGGGGAGACUGGAACUCCUGGUGUAGCGGUGGAAUGCGCAGAUAUCAGGAAGAACACCGGUGGCGAAGGCGGGUCUCUGGGCCGUUACUGACGCUGAGGAGCGAAAGCGUGGGGAGCGAACAGG
RNAcentral lists this ribosomal RNA (753 nucleotides) under uncultured Actinomyces sp. Its description in RNAcentral is "bacterial SSU rRNA". It matches the Rfam family "Bacterial small subunit ribosomal RNA", at positions 28 to 776 of the family's 1533-position model. Lineage: Bacteria; Bacillati; Actinomycetota; Actinomycetes; Actinomycetales; Actinomycetaceae. The record is from RNAcentral.